UUCUGUCCUUUGUGUUCUCGGAACAUUUGAAGAAACCGGCCAAGCCAGGGAGCAUUUCCCUCACUAAGGGAGGAGGAGGGGGAAGGAACUUGAGAGCACCAAGCCUAAAUGAUGUACAGCGAGGUCCAUCCUGCUAAGGAAAAAAAAAUCACAGGAGCAAGCCCAUCAUUUUGCAGGUGUUGGAGGUGAUCCAGGAGGACCUGAGAGUUCCAGCCAAGAUGACUGUGGAUCCAGGGCUGCAAGGAGGAUGGUGCAGCCCAUCAGCCUGGCAUAGGACUCGAGCCCCUGAGGUGGUCUGGACUUGGGACUGGGACCAUGACCUAUAAGAACCAAGGCGCCUAUGAACCCUCAGUGUCAAAUGGUUCAGUAUCAAAAACUGAUAUGAUUCGGUCAGGGGAAAUGGCAUUAAAGAAGGACAUCACCAUCCGUUUUGUUGCUAUACCCCAAGGACCAUGGGAAUUUUCCAUCCUACUUGCAACUGAUACCUACCUUCUCUCUUCCACUGGAUUGUGAGCUCUUUGAGAGCUGGAACUGUCUUGAUUUUCUAUUGCUUUGAGUAUACUAAGCUUCCUGCAAACAAGGCUGGGCUGACGUGCAGAUGUUCAGUGAAGACAAGUCCCCCUUUGCCCCCAAAUACCUUCCCUAGAGCUUCGCUGCCCUAGAGCUGAGCUGUCUUGAUGGAUGGAUGAAUGCAACAUCACCUCGCCAUACUUUAUACCUCUACUUAGACAGCCAAUAUGUAUCAGAGUCAGGACGUGAACCCAAGCUUUCCUGACUUGAAGACUACUGCUCUCUAUACUAUCAUUAACUCUCACAGGUAUGUCUAGCACGAAAAUUAGCUACUUAAUGUUGAAACAAGUUAUUGAAUGUGCUACUCUCUGGAGACACAAGCCCUUUACCCAAAUGAGUGAGGAGGAAUCUCAGGCAUCAAGUUAAGCUAUGGGGAAGGUAUCUGAGGGCAGAAGAGAUUUCUCUUCAAAGCACAGUAAGUAGAAGGGAGCUAUUACCUCUGCCCCACAUCACCCCAGCCCUGUUUGAAGGAAUGAAUGAAUGAAUGGUCUUGAUGGAUGGAUUAGAUAGAUAACUGGAUGGAAGAAGCAUUUACUAAGAGUUUACUGUGUACAAAGCACUAUGCUAAGCUCUGGGGAUAUAAAUAGAAAAGUGAGAUAGUCCCUAUUUUUCAGUGAUUUGGUCAAUGUUUUUUCCUGGUGUCACCUCUCCAUAUUUUUAAAUAAGUCAUCCCAGAACAUAGUUCAGAUACUAUCCAGUUGUCCUGUGGCUGAUGGCAUCUUGCCAGCAGUUCACAUACUUUCCUCACCCUGUUCCACUUCUUUUUCCCUCAAUCCCUGCCAAUUUCCAACUUUGGUUUUAAGAACAAUAAUCAAAUCAAUGCCUCCAUUACUUAUGAAAGGGGCAUUCCUGUGAAUUUCUCUGUGGCUCUGCUCACAAUCACUGUGACUCCCCACGACAAAAUUCUCUUCCCUAUUCAUUAAUUCCCAUAUGGGUUGACUCCCCUUAAUAGAAUAGGAGUACCUCGACAGCAGGGUCUGACUCAUUUCUGACUUUGUUGUCCCAGCACCUGGCACUUAGUAGGUCCUCAAUAAAUAUUUUUUAUUCAUUUGUUCA
Monodelphis domestica (gray short-tailed opossum) is the source of this 1626-nucleotide long non-coding RNA. The record is from Ensembl. NCBI's taxonomy places the organism in Eukaryota, Metazoa, Chordata, Mammalia, Didelphimorphia, Didelphidae.